GUAUGUAUGUAUGUACAUACAUGUGUAUAUGGUACAUUCAUGUAGUACAUACAUACAUAUGU
Molecule: microRNA precursor, 62 nt
Filed under: Drosophila melanogaster (fruit fly)
Lineage: Eukaryota; Metazoa; Arthropoda; Insecta; Diptera; Drosophilidae
Description: Dme-Mir-9388_pre stem-loop
Source: RNAcentral